RNAcentral lists this ribosomal RNA (228 nucleotides) under uncultured bacterium. RNAcentral describes it as "partial 16S ribosomal RNA". It matches the Rfam family "Bacterial small subunit ribosomal RNA", at positions 103 to 334 of the family's 1533-position model. The record is from RNAcentral.
CGGGUGAGUAACGCGUAGGAAUCUACCAAGUAGUGGGGGAUAAGCCAGAGAAAUUUGGUCUAAUACCGCAUACGUUCUUCGGAAGAAAGGAGGGGAUCUUCGGACCUUUCGCUAUUUGAUGAGCCUGCGUGAGAUUAGCUUGUUGGUGAGGUAAGAGCUCACCAAGGCGACGAUCUCUAGCUGGUCUGAGAGGAUGAUCAGCCACACUGGGACUGAGACACGGCCCAG